This 301-nucleotide ribosomal RNA is filed under the name uncultured bacterium. RNAcentral's name for it is "partial 16S ribosomal RNA". It matches the Rfam family "Bacterial small subunit ribosomal RNA", at positions 509 to 808 of the family's 1533-position model. The record is from RNAcentral.
CAGCAGCCGCGGUAUACGGAGGGUGCAAGCGUUAAUCGGAAUUACUGGGCGUAAAGCGCACGCAGGCGGUCUGACAAGUCAGAUGUGAAAUCCCCGGGCUUAACCUGGGAACUGCAUUUGAAACUGUCAGGCUGGAGUCUUGUAGAGGGGGGUAGAAUUCCAGGUGUAGCGGUGAAAUGCGUAGAGAUCUGGAGGAAUACCGGUGGCGAAGGCGGCCCCCUGGACAAAGACUGACGCUCAGGUGCGAAAGCGUGGGGAGCAAACAGGAUUAGAUACCCGUGUAGUCCCUGUCUCUUAUACA